Molecule: ribosomal RNA, 253 nt
Filed under: uncultured prokaryote
Description: partial 16S ribosomal RNA
Rfam family: Bacterial small subunit ribosomal RNA
Source: RNAcentral
GACAGAGGUGCCAAGCGUUAGGCGGAAUCACUGGGCUUAAAGCGCACGUAGGCGGAUUGUUAAGUCAGGGGUGAAAUCCUGGAGCUCAACUCCAGAACUGCCUUUGAUACUGGCGAUCUUGAGUCCGGGAGAGGUGAGUGGAACUGCGAGUGUAGAGGUGAAAUUCGUAGAUAUUCGCAAGAACACCAGUGGCGAAGGCGGCUCACUGGCCCGGUACUGACGCUGAGGUGCGAAAGCGUGGGGAGCAAACAGG